CCCGCAAAGUGGGAGUGGCCCGCUUGGAGCUUGC
This 34-nucleotide transfer RNA is filed under the name Noctiluca scintillans. RNAcentral describes it as "partial Selenocysteine transfer RNA". Lineage: Eukaryota; Dinophyceae; Noctilucales; Noctilucaceae. The record is from RNAcentral.